GAAUAGAACAGCUGUCGAAUUCUAGAAUCUCCUAAAAACACAAUAUGUUUGUCUAUGAGGCAACUUUUUGCUUCACUAUUUUUAUACUUGUGCAUCAUACAACUAUGAGGCUGCCACACUUUUUCUCCAAGAAAUCUCCCACUGGACAGAAGAUACUCACACGUAUCAUCACCUCGGUAGCGGCGGGAGGCGGCGUGGCAGGCGGCGAGCAGCAGGACGGCGGCCAGCGCCAGCGCCUUGGCGCUCCUCACGCUGAAGUAGUAGUUGAUCUCCCGCUUGCCCAGGGUGUAGGCCAGGCCCGCCAUCUUGGCUCCUCCAUGACAACAGUGCGCGGCGGAGCGGACGGGCGCAGCGGGGCAGCACUGGGUCCCCGCGGGCGGCCGAGGCAGCCCCCGCCGCCGGCUGCCACCGUCCCCACCGGCGCCGCGGAGAGCAGCCCGACCCCCCUCCGCCGGGGCGGAGCUGCCGCCUUCCUCCUCCUCUUCCUUCUCCUCCUCGCUCUCCUCCUCCCAGGGCUCCCGGCCGCGGUAGGGGUGAGGUCUUCUUGGAACACUGGAAUGUGGAACACCGAAACAUCUGGUUGUCGUUUCACCACCCUCCCGUCUUUCUGUGAGCCAAAAAAGUCAUCUUCCGGGAGAUCUGCGACUCGUUGCGUCUGACUGUUUGUAUCCGAUAAUGCGUUAAAAAAUGGAAAAGAGACGUGAUGAAAACUGAAAUUAAAUAGUGAAAACAAAGCCAGGAAGCCUGCACACUGCAAACCGUAUUUUCAGGUCUUACCUGAAGGACUUCAGGCACCGUGCAGACGUACAGGAUUGGAGUUCAAAGUGUUCUUUGGGCACUGUUAGCACACACUCGGUGUUAAUGCCGUUUCCCCCAGCCCAGCCAUGUCUGCACUGCCUGCCAGCAUGGAGUCUCUAUUUUUUCCCGUCCAACUCAGUCAAACCAAAAGCUGCUGCUCGUACGGAUUCCUUUACUCCACAGAUGAAAAGCUCCUAUUCACAUGUUAUUUUUGGUUACACAGCCUUCAAAAGUUCGAGCAUUCUCAAAGCUUUCUUACAGUGAAUAAACCUUAUUAUUAGUUAAAAUAUUCUUGUUAGUGCUUAGCUUUCCUUAUCAUUGCAUCACAGAUGUUUACAUGGCAGAUGCAAGCUUUUUGCACUUUAAUAAGCAACUACUUCUUAUCUAACAGCUUCUGCAACAUGAAGUAUUCACUGCAAUGUUUGUUGUUGUAGGGUUGGUUAUUUUUUUUUCUUUUUUUUGUAGCUUUUUGCAUUGUUAUACAUGAAUGAUUCCUAACACUGCUAUGAUAUGCAUCUUUCCUGCAGUCAUUUAGGAUCUCAGAUCUUCUUCACUUGUUUUCAUAAUAUUUGUUGAUAAACAAACAGGCUUUUAGUCCAACCCAAACACACAGACUUCAGCCUGUGUCCUAAGCUGUAUUAAGUUUACUGGCUAUGCUGGAAGUGCAUUUGAGAGGCUGAGUGCUGAACUCCAACAGGUAACAAAACAAACAUAUGUUUGUUUAUAGCUAUGUCAGAGGAUUAGAAUCAUAGAAUCGUAGGAUCACGAGGUUGGAAAGGACCUAACAAAUCAUCUAGUCCAACUGUCCUCCCAUUGCCCUUGCUACCACAAUAGAAUCAUAGAAUCUCAAGUUUGGAAGGUUACAACAUGUAGGGAUAGCCACUCUGUCCCGCAGCCCUCUGAGGGCUCUUUCAGAUUGGUCCAUGGAUGCCCAGUGGCACUCCUCACUUGCCCUGAAACACUGAGCCUACUCUUAAGUGAUGCCCCA
This 1786-nucleotide long non-coding RNA is filed under the name Gallus gallus (chicken). The record is from RNAcentral. Lineage: Eukaryota; Metazoa; Chordata; Aves; Galliformes; Phasianidae.